GAUGAAGAACGCAGCGAAACGCGAUACGUAAUGUGAAUUGCAGAAUUCAGUGAAUCAUCGAAUCUUUGAACGCACAUUGCGCCCUUUGGUAUUCCGAAGGGCAUGCCUGUUCGAGCGUCAUUUCACCACUCAAGCCUGGCUUGGUAUUGGGCGCCGCGGUCGAUCCGCGCGCCUCAAAGUCUCCGGCUGAGCUGUCCGUCUCUAAGCGUUGUGAUUUCAUUAAUCGCUUCGGAGUGCGGGCGGCCGCGGCCGUUAAAUCUUUCACAAGGUUGACCUCGGAUCAGGUAGGGAUACCCGCUGAACUUAAGCAUAUCAAUAAGCGGAGGA
RNAcentral lists this unclassified non-coding RNA (327 nucleotides) under soil metagenome. Its description in RNAcentral is "partial contains 5.8S ribosomal RNA, internal transcribed spacer 2, and large subunit ribosomal RNA". The stretch from base 1 to 120 matches the Rfam family "5.8S ribosomal RNA", at positions 35 to 154 of the family's 154-position model. The record is from RNAcentral.